UGGGGAAUAUUGCACAAUGGGCGCAAGCCUGAUGCAGCCAUGCCGCGUGUAUGAAGAAGGCCUUCGGGUUGUAAAGUACUUUCAGCGGGGAGGAAGGGAGUAAAGUUAAUACCUUUGCUCAUUGACGUCACCCGCAGAAGAAGCACCGGCUAACUCCGUGCCAGCAGCCGCGGUAAUACGGAGGGUGCAAGCGUUAAUCGGAAUUACUGGGCGUAAAGCGCACGCAGGCGGUUUGUUAAGUCAGAUGUGAAAUCCCCGGGCUCAACCUGGGAACUGCAUCUGAUACUGGGAAGCUUGAGUCUCGUAGAGGGGGGUAGAAUUCCAGGUGUAGCGGUGAAAUGCGUAGAGAUCUGGAGGAAUACCGGUGGCGGAGGCGGCCCCCUGGACGAAGACUGACGCUCAGGUGCGAAAGCGUGGGGAGCAAACAGG
Molecule: ribosomal RNA, 429 nt
Filed under: Fusobacteriota bacterium
Lineage: Bacteria; Fusobacteriati; Fusobacteriota
Description: Fusobacteria bacterium partial 16S ribosomal RNA
Rfam family: Bacterial small subunit ribosomal RNA
Source: RNAcentral